CGCACAUGAUGAUACCAGAGAGUGGUUUCGCUUUCAAGACCUGAUGUCACUUGAUGUCACAUUUUCUCUUGGCUAUCUGAUGCU
Molecule: small nucleolar RNA, 84 nt
Organism: Electrophorus electricus (electric eel)
Lineage: Eukaryota; Metazoa; Chordata; Actinopteri; Gymnotiformes; Gymnotidae
Source: Ensembl